CCUACGGGCGGUUGCAGUAGGGAAUCUUUCACAAUGGGCGAAAGCCUGAUGGAGCAACGCCGCGUGCAGGAUGAAGGCCUUCGGGUUGUAAACUGCUUUUAUAAGCGAGAAAUAUGAUGGUAACUUAUGAAUAAGGAUCGGCUAACAACGUGCCAGCAGACGCGGUCAUACGUAGGAUCCGAGCAUUAUCCGGAGUUUCUGGGUGUAAAGAGUUGUGUAGGUGGCAUAAUAAGUAGCUAGUGAAAUCUGGUGGCUCAACCAUUCAGACUAUUAGCUAAACUGUUAAGCUCGAGACCGUUAGGAGUAACUGGAAUUUGUAGUGUAGGAGUGAAAUCCGUAGAUAUUAGAAAGAACACCAAUAGCGUAGGCAGGUUGCUGGGACGGUUCUGACACUAAGGCACGAAAGCGUAGGGAGCAAACGGGAUUAGAUACCCGGGUAGUC
RNAcentral lists this ribosomal RNA (442 nucleotides) under uncultured bacterium. RNAcentral's name for it is "partial 16S ribosomal RNA". It matches the Rfam family "Bacterial small subunit ribosomal RNA", at positions 338 to 795 of the family's 1533-position model. The record is from RNAcentral.